GACGAACGCUGGCGGCGUGCCUAAUACAUGCAAGUUGAGCGCUGAAGGUUGGUACUUGUACCAACUGGAUGAGCAGCGAACGGGUGAGUAACGCGUGGGGAAUCUGCCUUUGAGCGGGGGACAACAUUUGGAAACGAAUGCUAAUACCGCAUAAAAACUUUAAACACAAGUUUUAAGUUUGAAAGAUGCAAUUGCAUCACUCAAAGAUGAUCCCGCGUUGUAUUAGCUAGUUGGUGAGGUAAAGGCUCACCAAGGCGAUGAUACAUAGCCGACCUGGGAGGGUGAUCGGCCACAUUGGGACUGAGACACGGCCCAAACUCCUACGGGAGGCAGCAGUAGGGAAUCUUCGGCAAUGGACGAAAGUCUGACCGAGCAACGCCGCGUGAGUGAAGAAGGUUUUCGGAUCGUAAAACUCUGUUGGUAGAGAAGAACGUUGGCGAGAGUGGAAAGCUCAUCAAGUGACGGUAACUACCCAGAAAGGGACGGCUAACUACGUG
This 497-nucleotide ribosomal RNA is filed under the name uncultured bacterium. RNAcentral describes it as "partial 16S ribosomal RNA". It matches the Rfam family "Bacterial small subunit ribosomal RNA", at positions 28 to 507 of the family's 1533-position model. The record is from RNAcentral.